GAUCAUUGUCGAAACCUGCCCAGCAGAAGGACCGGCGAAC
Molecule: ribosomal RNA, 40 nt
Filed under: Ficus trigona
Lineage: Eukaryota; Viridiplantae; Streptophyta; Magnoliopsida; Rosales; Moraceae
Description: partial 18S ribosomal RNA
Source: RNAcentral